CAAUAGCGUAUAUUAAAGUUGUUGCAGUUAAAAAGCUCGUAGUUGGAUUUCUGGCAGGAGCGACCGGUCGCACGCUAUGCGUGUGAACUUGUGUUGUCUCUGGCCAUCCUUGGGGAGAUCCCGUUUGGCAUUAAGUUGUCGGGCGGGGGGAUACCCAUCGUUUACUGUGAAAAAAUUAGAGUGUUUAAAAGCAGGCUUAUGCCGUUGAAAUAUAUUAGCAUGGAAUAAUAAGAUAGGACUUUGGAACUAUUUUGUUGGUUUGCGUUACAAAAGUAAUGAUUAAUAGGGACAGUUGGGGGUAUUCGUAUUUCGUUGUCAGAGGUGAAAAUUCUUGGAUUUCCGAAAAGAC
Molecule: ribosomal RNA, 349 nt
Filed under: uncultured eukaryote
Lineage: Eukaryota
Description: SSU rRNA
Rfam family: Eukaryotic small subunit ribosomal RNA
Source: RNAcentral